ACAUCAGUGACAACAACAACGACUACAACAUCAGCCGAACCUGAAACCCAACAACAAUCAUGUGCACGGUCUGAAGAUAAAGUUAAUAAUUUUGCCAUUAUAUAUUUCUCUGGAUUCGGAUCUUGUGUUGCCAUAGAAGUAUUUGCUGUAUUGUUUUACCUUAUAAGACGAAGGUAUCUGGGAAGUAAACGCCCAAAGACAACAAACCUAACGUUGACAUUCCAACAUAUUAUAACACUAGAACUGAUUUCGGAACUGUAAAUGCUGAGUCAGCUGAUGCGACUAAUAAUUACGAGAGUUUGAGUAAUAACAGGACCACGAAUAAUGUAUACAAUGAUCUAGGAACAGCAUUGUCAUCGACGUAGGAGAAAUGAGUUUUAGUGAUUUCCUAGUGA
This is a long non-coding RNA of Ruditapes philippinarum (Manila clam), 395 nucleotides long. RefSeq lists it as uncharacterized. The record is from RefSeq and is a predicted model, not a curated record. The transcript is spliced from 3 exons. Lineage: Eukaryota; Metazoa; Mollusca; Bivalvia; Venerida; Veneridae.